UUGAACGCUGGCGGCAGGCCUAACACCUGCAAGUCGAGCGGAUGAAGGGAGCUUGCUCCUGGAUUCAGCGGCGGACGGGUGAGUAAUGCCUAGGAAUCUGCCUGGUAGUGGGGGAUAACGUCCGGAAACGGGCGCUAAUACCGCGUACGUCCUGAGGGAGAAAGUGGGGGAUCUUCGGACCUCACGCUAUCAGAUGAGCCUAGGUCGGAUUAGCUAGUUGGUGGGGUAAAGGCCUACCAAGGCGACGAUCCGUAACUGGUCUGAGAGGAUGAUCAGUCACACUGGAACUGAGACACGGUCCAGACUCCUACGGGAGGCAGCAGUGGGGAAUAUUGGACAAUGGGCGAAAGCCUGAUCCAGCCAUGCCGCGUGUGUGAAGAAGGUCUUCGGAUUGUAAAGCACUUUAAGUUGGGAGGAAGGGCAGUAAGUUAAUACCUUGCUGUUUUGACGUUACCAACAGAAUAAGCACCGGCUAACUUCGUG
Molecule: ribosomal RNA, 483 nt
Filed under: uncultured bacterium
Lineage: Bacteria
Description: partial 16S ribosomal RNA
Rfam family: Bacterial small subunit ribosomal RNA
Source: RNAcentral